CCCUCUUUCAAUCCCCAUUAUCAAUUGCAAAAAUUCUUCUUUGAAUCCUCAUCAGUAAUACGAAUUCGGUCCUCAUCUCAAUGCGAUUCUUCAUCUUUCCUACAUCCAUUCAUCGUUGUCUUCUACCACAUAUCGGUCAUAUCAAUUGGAUCCUAUAUAUCCAUUAACGCUUCGUUCUUUCUCACAAUUCCAUUUUCUCACAAACCCUAAAUCCAAACCUCUUCAUCUACAUAUAUCUUCUUAACGCACCAAACGGUCACUAGUGUCAGGUUCCGGGGGCAACGAUGGUGAUUCAGUUCGUUGAUUGUUGUGUAGUGGGUCAGGUGGAGGCGAGGACGACAAUGGAUGACGGCGAAGAGAUAGGCUGCGAUUGGUGAGGUUGUGGUAUGCCUGUAGUUGCACCUAUUGAUGCAGUUGAAGAGCCAGCUAUUGAUGAACAACAAGAUGGUCGUGUUUAUAAGUUUGUAACGAUCUGAAUUAACUCUUGGUUUUAGUUGAGAUCGUUGUAUGAGUUUGGUUUUGAAAGCUCAAGGGGUGCGAUUGUAAAAUUUCAAGGGGGCGCUAAGAAUUUUCACUACAAUUAAGUUUUGUCAAUGGUUCCGGUACCCAAGCUUGCAUUGAGGUUAUAUUUGGAAUGUGCUGAGGGUUCCAUGGUGAUUCCGGCAAGAAGGAUCUUCCGAUAUGAUUUUUGAAUCAGCAGUUACGAGUCGAUUCUCCAAUAUAGAUCCGAUGGUUUCUCACAUGUUUACGGCUGUAUAGGGGCUGCAGAGACCACUAGCGGCGUGAUUUGUGAACGUUUCGCGU
RNAcentral lists this long non-coding RNA (804 nucleotides) under Helianthus annuus (common sunflower). RNAcentral's name for it is "hypothetical non coding rna". The record is from RNAcentral. Lineage: Eukaryota; Viridiplantae; Streptophyta; Magnoliopsida; Asterales; Asteraceae.